ACUCACCUCUUGCCAAACUACUUCCUCAGACAAGAUGAAGCCAAGGAGAAGCUUUCCGACAUGCUGGAGUCGCAGUGACUGCUGCCCAAUUUAAAAUCGAUGUCAGACUGUGCCCCAACUGCCUGGCGAGAUGAAAGAAGUGGUGUUGUGGUCACCUGAGGAGGUGACAAAUUGGCUAAUGGAAAACGCUGUGCCGGAGUAUUGUGAGCCGCUGAAGAGCUUCACUGGGCAGGAUUUGAUCAACCUCACAGAGGAGGAUUUUAAGAAGACGCCUCUCUCCCGGGUGUCUUCUGACAGUGGGCAGCGGCUCUUGCACAUGAUUGAAACUUUAAAAAUGGCUCACCACAUUGAGGCUCACAAAAACGGGCACGUCAACGGGCACAUCCGUGUCAGCGUGAGCAGCGCCGCGCGCGAGAAUGGCUUUGGCAGUAAAAUGAAGCUGAAUGGGAUGCCAAACGGGUAUAAGAAGGAGAUGAUAAAGAUCCCCAUGCCAGAGCCAGAGCGCUCACAGUAUCCUAUGGAAUGGGGCAAGACUUUCCUGGCUUUUAUUUAUGCACUUUUUUGUUUCGUCUUUACCACAGUGACUAUCUCAGUCGUUCAUGAACGAGUGCCUCCCAAGGAGGUGCAGCCUCCCCUACCAGAUGCAUUUUUUGAUCACUUUGAUCGGGUGCAAUGGGCUUUUUCUAUUUGUGAAAUCAACGGCAUGAUCCUUGUAGGACUCUGGUUUGUUCAGUGGCUGCUCUUAAAAUACAAGUAA
This is an RNA transcript of Antrostomus carolinensis (chuck-will's-widow), 757 nucleotides long. It is a transcript of the gene named phosphatidylcholine:ceramide cholinephosphotransferase 1 pseudogene, with no coding region annotated. The transcript has a single exon. The record is from RefSeq and is a predicted model, not a curated record. NCBI's taxonomy places the organism in Eukaryota, Metazoa, Chordata, Aves, Caprimulgiformes, Caprimulgidae.